AGAAGAAGAAAAAGGAAAAAGAAAAAGACGCUGACAGGAGACGGAGAGGACUGAAAAAGCUUUCCUCUGAAGGUUUUCAGCAGAUGAAUCGACUUGAAGAUAAAUGAUCAAAAAGUGGGAACAAAAGUCCCUGGCUGCUCUCGGGGCAGAGAUGCCCCUCUAUUGUUGGUUUGGCCCCUCCUCGUCUGUGCCCCACAGGACCCUCAUUUACUGGACCAAACGGCAGAUGAAGAGCUGGACGGUAAACAAACUGGAGCUCAGUCUAAAGACCCACUGGGGACUAAAAUCGCCCGCGGAUUUAAAAAGUUUGCUGCAGCGUCGCUCCUGUUUCCUAACACUGUGGUGACCCUCUGAAGGUGUUGUUCUCCGAUCAGAUUUUUCUCGCCCGUCUGUCUCCUCACAGCUGAGAAAACAUUAAUAUUAUACCGACUGUCGGUGCAGCCUGAGCUCUGCAUCCGCACCGCAGAAAUGUCCAGAAUCAUCAGUUCACGGCUGCACAAACAGACGCGAUCGACACCAAAGCUGAUUUUAUAUCACACUUCCUAACAGCUGUCACGCAAUAUCACCUGGACCUCACAGCGGAGCGGCUUUCACAGACUGCAGAUACAAUCGCAAAACAAUCCUUCAGCUCAAGACAAACAGCUGAGCAGGAACUGCAGACGGCGAAGAAAUCCCCUCAAACUUUAACACCUGCUUUUUGACCUCGGCGGACUCUCAACAGUGAACUGUAAUCCUUUUUUCUUAAACAGUAUCUAGCUGAAAAACUGUGAGAGUCGAUGGCAAAUUUGGAAUCAGAAGUCUUCAGGGUACAAAAUAAAAGGUGAAAAUUUUUAAUUGUUCAUGCAAGUGAGACACUAAACCCUUUUAAUUACAGUAAUUUACUGUAUAUUGCUCGUUCAAACUUGCUUGAGAGAAAAUCAAAGAAAAAAAGCCAAGAAAUUGGUGUUUACUCCAAGUUCUCUUAAAUGACUCGUGCUUGAGAAAGAAACGGUGCAUACAAGUCGUUCUUGCAUAAGAGAGUAAGAGUGAGCGAUAAGCGACUUAAAUUAGGAAUCUGUGUUAAUGUUGCAAUCCAAUCACCAGAAAAAAAUGUUGCUAUUUUAUGUUUUUGCAAACCACAGAUACAUUUGUG
Molecule: non-coding RNA, 1132 nt
Organism: Plectropomus leopardus (leopard coralgrouper)
Lineage: Eukaryota; Metazoa; Chordata; Actinopteri; Perciformes; Serranidae
Source: RefSeq, a predicted model, not a curated record